RNAcentral lists this small nuclear RNA (107 nucleotides) under Sus scrofa (pig). Lineage: Eukaryota; Metazoa; Chordata; Mammalia; Artiodactyla; Suidae. The record is from RNAcentral.
GUGCUCACUUCAGGAGCACAUAUACUAAAAUUGGAAUGAUACAGAGAAGAUUAGCAUGGCUUCUGUGCAAGGAUGACCCACAAAUUUGUGAAGCAGUCCGUAUUUUU